Molecule: long non-coding RNA, 1147 nt
Filed under: Carica papaya (papaya)
Lineage: Eukaryota; Viridiplantae; Streptophyta; Magnoliopsida; Brassicales; Caricaceae
Description: long non-coding RNA (CPAP_LNC002485)
Source: RNAcentral
ACAUUACAGCAAUAUUGGGAGGUAAACUCUCCCAAACAUACAAAUAAGAAUGGGAACUAGCAGUCUGCGCAAUGUUAUGGGAUACCGUUGCCUUGUCUUCGAACCCAACUUAUGGAUACAUUAGCUCGAAGUGCCAGCAGAGUCCUAGGACAUUCAAUAAUGAAUCUGAACUCAGAACAAUCUUCCCCAUUGGUCGUUAAAGCAUUUUUUACCAUUUGUGUGUCUACUUCGACAAUGCUCGACCAAGUGAUAUUCGAGAUUAUAUAUUGCAGUGAAUUACGGUAGUCAAGUAGUUCAGUUAGAUAAGGAGAUCGGCACCCUCAUAACCUAUCAGAGAAAACUAUCAAUACUCUUUCUGUUGAGUCUCGGACGACUGCUCCCUAUCCUACAUUAUAACUUGCAUAAAAAAUUGUACUGUUCACAUUGCAUUUCCAGACCCAGGCGAUGGAGCUUCUCACGGCAAGGACCUUGACUUGGUGCGCGAGAGUUGUACCUUGCCUCUGUCUAUAACUUAAUGUGCAUGUCUCCGUUCAUACGAAAACUUCCUCGUUAGAAUGAUGGAGGUCUACCUUCAAGUCCACAAAAAUUCAUUCCGCUCAAGUUAGAGGCACCAUAAAUAGCAAAGUAUCUCCGUUAACUCCCGCUUUACCAUUUUUUUAGCUUGAUGUUCCAUCUGUUUGAAUACUUCUUGGUCUGUCUUACCUAGAAAUGUAUACCUAGUUUUUGCCAACAAGCCCUGGCUUUUUUCACAAUCAAAUAAGACAUACUCGGUGGUUUCCUCCUUGUCACAUCUAGGGCGCACGUUCACAAUUCAAAUCCCUUUCUCCUGCAGUUUAGAUUUUACCAGAGGGAUAUUAUUCAAUAAUCUCCAUGUGAAAUUCUUAAUUUUGGGGGGGACUUCUAACUGCCACAAAUACUUUCACAUGUUAAAUGAUCAUUGUGCAUGGUUUGCAUGGAAACCCAUCAAAUGCUGGUAUGCCAAUUUUACGAUGUAUUUACCAUCCUUCAAGUGACUCCAAAUACAUUUGUCAGCCCUGCUUCUCAGGCUUAUUGGAAUACUCAUAAUGAGAUCGACUUCUUCAUCCACAAUAGACCCCUAAGAUUUCUGUCGACAUUUAUUUUUAUUUAUUAAAAAGUUUCAUCUGAU